AAUCCCUAAAUCUACAACCAGAAAGGGAAAGAAAGGGAACGGGGAGCUCGAGGGGAAACAGAAGGGAAGAAAGAAGGAAACGAAGAACAGAGGGAGAGGGUGAGGGAACAGAGGAAGAAGAGAGGAAGGAGGAUCGCUGCGCCGUGCUGCUCCCUGCGCCGGUUGCCGUCGCUGUCGCCAGAGCCAGAGGAGAGAGAGAGAGAACGCUCACGAGGGAGAGGAUAAACGCGAGGAGAAGGAGAGCUCCUGCGCGAAGGACAGCGCCGCCACUCCGUCACCAUCGUUGUCGCGGCUGGAAGCAUAAAGUUCGAACAGAGAGGGAGAAACCGCGAGUGAAGGGUGACGCUGGGCCUCUGUUGCUGCUGCUAUCACCAAGCUCGCUUUCGUUGCCGCCGAAGGCCAAGGCCCUAUCGUCGUCAUCGAUUCUGCCUGGAGCCGCCACCCACUUGUCACAGCGAGUUAGUUACUUUGCCGCCGCUGAAUUUGCCGUGUUGAGACUGAAACUGCCACUUUGACUCUGGGCUGUAAUUGUUCUUAAUUCCCAUCCAAUUUGAAUUCCCUGUUUUGUUAUAACUAUCAUUACCGUUGUGGAAUUGUCGCCGUUGCGAGUAUGAUUACAGAUAGUGCCAGAAUCGGAUUUGCGUGGGAAUUGCCACUGCUGAGUCAAAAGGAAAAGCCGCUCACAGCGUUUAAUCUUACGAGUUUCGACAUCGAGAUUUCAAAAAGGUAUUGAUCCGGUUCGGUUUUUGAAACCGAACAGGGUUGCCGAUUUUUCCAAAACCCGUAGGGGUCAAACCGGGUAAACAACCUGAGAUCGGACCUCUUAGCGAAUUUUGAUGGCAGUUUUGAAUUGAAGAAGCAAGAAAUCCUGAAAAGAUUAUCAUCGCCCGAGUUAUCAGAAAUAUUGGAUUUUUUUGCUUUUUGGACUUGAUAAAACUAUGUUCUCUUCCCUUCAAAGACCUUCCACACUUAGCUAAGCUUGUUGAUACUAUUGCAAAAGAACGCUCAAGCUUCAUUCAGAAUCUUCCCAAAUUGGUAAGCUAAGCUUCAAAUUCCUUGCAUAGUAUCUCCGAUUGAUGCGAAUAGCGGCCAUGGAUCAACUCAUUUUCCGAACUUAGAUGUGGAUAACAAUGAAGAUUAAGCAAUGAAGAUUAAGCUGACUAUUAUUGUGGUUUAUUGGCUAAGAAAGAGUGCUAUUUAGAAUCUUUACAUGUAUGGUUGACUAAUGACUUUUAUUAAAAGAUACUUUUAUUGGCUAAGUGAUAUUAUGGUUUUGAUAUGACUAUGCUUAUUUUAGUGUGAGAUGUAUGAAUUUUUACAGUUAACUUCAUUCUAGUACUUUUGGAUCAAUAUUAUAAAUAUAUUUUGGUU
Arachis duranensis is the source of this 1371-nucleotide long non-coding RNA. RefSeq lists it as uncharacterized. The record is from RefSeq and is a predicted model, not a curated record. The transcript has 5 exons. Lineage: Eukaryota; Viridiplantae; Streptophyta; Magnoliopsida; Fabales; Fabaceae.